This is a long non-coding RNA of Gadus chalcogrammus (walleye pollock), 1618 nucleotides long. RefSeq lists it as uncharacterized. The transcript is spliced from 4 exons. Lineage: Eukaryota; Metazoa; Chordata; Actinopteri; Gadiformes; Gadidae. The record is from RefSeq and is a predicted model, not a curated record.
CACCGACUCACUGCCUGCCUCACUCGCUAACUCACUGCCUCACUAACUCACUGCCUCACUCUGUUCUUACCAGAUUCCUCUGGCAGGCAGCGACCGACGGAGGCCAAGGUGGCAGCCGUCGUAGCCAAGGAGAAAUGGAAAACCAAUGUCCCCUCCCUCCCGGAUGUGCUCAAGGCGUGGGUCUCCCCUUUAAAGAACAGGACAUGGUGUCUUUGGCUCCGUCUGUAAAGUUCAACUGGAACACCAGCCAUGGUUCCGGAUGAAGCGUCUCGCCGCUCACUGGUCGACCACCUAGAAAACAAAGGAUUCUUUGUCGUCGGUGAACCGUUGCGCCCCGCGCAUUGUGCAGUGCCCAGCUCUCAGGAGACGGGGCACAGGCCUGAGCACCGGCGUCUGCUGGAGAUGGCAGAGGGUCGGUCGGAGGAAGCUUGCCAUGGAAUCCUAACGGGAGAACGGUUGCCGCAUCAGCAGAUGACGAGGGUCUCCCCUUUAAAGGCAGCCAUCGAGGACGACGAAGGCUGUCCUCAAGUCGGUGGUGGAGCAACGGUGGAAGGGGAUCGAUUUUAAGGACUUUGGAGAACACGAGGGCAGAGGCGUCAUCGCCACCGUGCCGUUCUCCAAGGGGGACGUGAUAUGCGGCUAUCACGGGAAGCUCAUCCCUGAAUCCGAGGGGAAGAGGCUGACGAGGACGACGAAGGCUGUCCUCAAGUCUGACGAAGGCUGUCCUCAAGUCGGUGGGGAAGCUCAUCCCUGAAUCCGAGGGGAAGAGGCUGACGAGGACGACGAAGGCUGUCCUCAAGUCGGUGGUGGAGCAACGGUGGAAGGGGAUCGAUUUUAAGGACUUUGGAGAACACGAGGGCAGAGGCGUCAUCGCCACCGUGCCGUUCUCCAAGGGGGACGUGACAUGCGGCUAUCACGGAAAGCUCAUCUCUGAAUCCGAGGGGAAGAGGCUGAUGGAUGCAAUGCAGGAGGGAGCGAUGAGCUACCUCUUCUUCGUCAGGGGCAGGCUAGGCACCGAGCUGUGCGUCGACUCCCACAACUUCCCCUGCGAGCGCCACCCUGGAAAAGGACGCCUUUGGUAGGCGCAUGAACCACUCGGGCAAGGCGGCCAACGUGAAGCCUGCGGUGUUCCAGUUGAACUUUACAGACGGAGCCAAAGACACUAUGUCCUGUUCUUGGCCCAGAGAAACAUAGCUGUCAACGAAGAGCUCCGUUGGGACUAUGGUGUGAGACGGGAGGUCUUUCGGAGAUGAGGGCAUGGACCUGGCAUGGCUCGGAUGACUGAAACGAUUCUCUUUGGUUCAUUGGGUUUCUCAUUUGUUGUUGCCGGUUAUCGCUGUUCUUGUUGUUUGGUGUCAUGUUUUUAAUAAAUGUUUUUGCCACAAAGGACAACGCCUUGAAUAGACUGACUUUAUUAAUCCCCGAAGGAUGUGAAAUAAUUCAAGUCUUCAUGUUGACAUAGAGUGGGUGCCAGAAAAAGUGAAAAACACGACGGCUCUCGUUUAAGGGCUUAAACGUUGAGCUACUGCAGGAAAAGGGCAUGCAUAAAACGUGCACUGCAUGUGAAACAUUCCGUAAUGAUGUAUGGGACGAUUGCGAUCACCAGACAUGAGGAUGA